CCUACGGGAGGCAACAGUGAGGAAUAUUGGUCAAUGGCCGGGAGGCUGAACCAGCCAAGUCGCGUGAGGGAAGACGGCCCUACGGGUUGUAAACCUCUUUUGUCAGGGAGCAAGGUGCAGGUCGGGACCUGCUGUGAGAGUACCUGAAGAAAAAGCAUCGGCUAACUCCGUGCCAGCAGCCGCGGUAAUACGGAGGAUGCGAGCGUUAUCCGGAUUUAUUGGGUUUAAGGGGUGCGCCGGCGGAGGCACAAGUCAGCGGUAAAAUCGCGGGGCUCAACCCCGCUCCGCCGUUGAAAAUGUGUGCCUUGAGUGCGCGAAGGGUAGGCGGAAUGCGUGGUGUAGCGGUGAAAUGCAUAGAUAUCACGCAGAACUCCGAUCGCGAAGGCAGCCUACCGGCGCGCAACUGACGCUCAUGCACGAAAGCGUGGGUAUCGAACAGGAUUAGAUACCCCAGUAGUC
Molecule: ribosomal RNA, 459 nt
Filed under: uncultured bacterium
Lineage: Bacteria
Description: partial 16S ribosomal RNA
Rfam family: Bacterial small subunit ribosomal RNA
Source: RNAcentral